AGCCCUCUGUAUCCGUGCUGAGAUUUCGUCAGAGAUCAACCCAUUGGCCCUGGCUGAUGCAACUUUCCAAAUAAAUGGAGCG
RNAcentral lists this microRNA precursor (82 nucleotides) under Trichobilharzia regenti. RNAcentral's name for it is "mir-3492 microRNA precursor family". It matches the Rfam family "mir-3492 microRNA precursor family". The record is from Rfam by way of RNAcentral. Lineage: Eukaryota; Metazoa; Platyhelminthes; Trematoda; Strigeidida; Schistosomatidae.